GUUUUGUCUUUUCAUUCAAUU
RNAcentral lists this small RNA (21 nucleotides) under Arabidopsis thaliana (thale cress). RNAcentral describes it as "ATSL023570". Lineage: Eukaryota; Viridiplantae; Streptophyta; Magnoliopsida; Brassicales; Brassicaceae. The record is from RNAcentral.